UUUAAGGGGGGACUUUUUUCACUACUACACUGCUAAACAGGUACAAUGGAGUACAUGCGUUAGUGGAGGUAUUGCACUGUGAAAAUGGAGAGAGAACAUUCCGAAACUGAAGCUGUAGCAGACGAUAAAAUUAAACAUGAUGACACAGAAGAACUUUUGCCGAAAAAAAGGAGUCACGUCCGUUGCCUGGAGAUACUUUGGUUUUAAAAGGUCAGAUAUGUGGACCAUUAUGUUCAAAUGUGUGAAUACUGUUUCUAUACUACUGGAUAAUACUGCAAACCAAGUUGUACUUGUUUUAUUAUUAU
Molecule: long non-coding RNA, 305 nt
Organism: Erpetoichthys calabaricus (reedfish)
Lineage: Eukaryota; Metazoa; Chordata; Cladistia; Polypteriformes; Polypteridae
Exons: 3
Source: RefSeq, a predicted model, not a curated record